This 207-nucleotide ribosomal RNA is filed under the name uncultured Verrucomicrobiota bacterium. RNAcentral describes it as "uncultured Verrucomicrobia bacterium partial 16S ribosomal RNA". It matches the Rfam family "Bacterial small subunit ribosomal RNA", at positions 568 to 774 of the family's 1533-position model. Lineage: Bacteria; Pseudomonadati; Verrucomicrobiota. The record is from RNAcentral.
UGCGUAGGUGGUGAGGUAAGUCGGAUGUGAAAGCUCGGAGCUCAACUCCGAAAUGGCAUUGGAAACUACCUUGCUUGAGGAUUGGAGGGGGGACUGGAAUACUUGGUGUAGCAGUGAAAUGCGUAGAUAUCAAGUGGAACACCAGUGGCGAAGGCGAGUCCCUGGACAAUUCCUGACACUGAGGCACGAAAGCUAGGGGAGCAAACA